UGUGUCCCAGUCUUCACACUCCUUGGACGUGGUGGCAGUUACCUGCCAUGUGCAGAGAUUCUAUCCACAGACUGUGCAUCUCAGCUGGUUGGAGAACUGCCAUACAUUCAAGAGAGCUGUGCAACCCUCGUCCAAGCAGAAUAGUGAUGGUACCUACACCUUGGAAAGCUUGCAUUUGGUGAAUGCCUCAGUGUGGGAGUCUGAAUGUGUACUUACCUGUAAAGUGCAGCAUGAGACCCAGCCUCCCAUCCAGGCCAGCCUCAUACUGUCCACAGCAGUGCAGGACACAUACAAACUCCUUGGGAGCACAGGUCCAGAGAUGCCUGCCUUUUUGAUGGCUUUCCUCCUGGGCUUCAAAGUGGUGCUGGUGAUCAGUUUCAUAGCUACCUAUUUCCACAGGUGGUGGAACCUGUAACAGGUCCUGCAUACUCUGUGAUACACAGCCUCCCUCCCUGUGCAAGGGGCUCAAGUGGAAAGAAGCUAUAAGGACUGGAAAUGACUCAAGAUUUCCCACCCUUCACUCUGCUUUCCCCACCUCCAACAUGAACACACUCCCUUCCACACAUUCUCCUAUAUGCCUUCUCUCUGACCUUUGGAAUUGAGUCAAGAAUGGACAUUGGUCAUGUUGAUCCAGAAUGUCUGGACCCUGAUGCACUGAGCUUCAAACUGGCCCUGCCUCCACCCCAAAGAGAAUCAAGUAGAUCAAGAAAGUAGGUUUCCAUUGUGCCCCUGCUCAUGAACCCUUAAUUUUCAGAGCACUUUUUACUUUUAUCCAGAGCUUUUGCAAUUGUGAUUUCAUUUUAACACACAUGUAUUUUAAAUCACUAAGUUGAAUAAGAUUUUUCUAUUCUGAAAUUUAUGAUAUAAAAAUAUCCACAUAACUACCUACCAUGCUAUGUUUGCAGACUGUUAACAUUUUGCCAUUGUGAUCUGUUGUUCCUUUGAAAAUUACUGUACUAGAUUUGGUAUUCAUAAUCUCAAUCAUGAUUUUAUACUUCUACAACAUAUAUAUAAAUCCUUAAGCAAUAUAUAACAUUACUUGCAUGUUUUAACUUUUGUAUAAAUGUUAUUAUACUGUAUACAGUCUGCUGGAACUUUUAUUUUUUUAUACUCAACACAGCUUUUUUUAUUCAUAAAUUCAUAAAUGAAUUUAUACAUUCAUUUAUGUAGCUCAAUUUUAUUAAUUUCCACUGCUGUAUAAGUUCUACUGUGACAGUAUGCCACAAUGUAUUGAUUUUUCUUGUGAUGGAUAUCAAAUAUUUAUGUAAUGUCUUGCUAGUAGAAUUUUGCACACAUAUUUUUGUCUUUGUUUCUUGGGCAUGUAUGGGACAGUUCCUCUUCGACUGGUGUGUCCAUAAAGUGGACUCUUGGUAUCGCUUGGAGCC
Molecule: RNA transcript, 1385 nt
Organism: Capra hircus (goat)
Lineage: Eukaryota; Metazoa; Chordata; Mammalia; Artiodactyla; Bovidae
Exons: 3
Source: RefSeq, a predicted model, not a curated record